RNAcentral lists this ribosomal RNA (856 nucleotides) under Cephalosilurus apurensis. RNAcentral describes it as "partial 12S ribosomal RNA". It matches the Rfam family "Bacterial small subunit ribosomal RNA", at positions 91 to 1448 of the family's 1533-position model. Lineage: Eukaryota; Metazoa; Chordata; Actinopteri; Siluriformes; Pseudopimelodidae. The record is from RNAcentral.
AGUAUCCGCAACCUGGUGAGAAUGCCCUCAAUCCCCCAACCGGGGACAAGGAGCAGGCAUCAGGCACAUCAAACCUUACGACAGCCCAAGACGCCUUGCUACGCCACACCCUCAAGGGAAUUCAGCAGUAAUAAAUAUUAAGCCAUAAGUGAAAACUUGACUUAGUUAGAGCUAAGAGGGUCGGUAAAAUUCGUGCCAGCCACCGCGGUUAUACGAAAGACCCCAGUUGAUAUUUGCGGCGUAAAGGGUGGCUAAGGGAUAACGCAAAUAAAGUUAAAGAGCCUCUAAGCCGUCGCACGCACCCCGAGAACUCGAAGCCCAAAAACGAAAGUAACUUUAAAACACAUUUACCUGACCCCACGAAAGCUAAGAAACAAACUGGGAUUAGAUACCCCACUAUGCUUAGCCCUAAACCAAGAUGUUAACUUACACACACAUCCGCCCGGGUACUACGAGCACAGCUUAAAACCCAAAGGACUUGGCGGUGUCUCAGACCCACCUAGAGGAGCCUGUUCUAGAACCGAUAAACCCCGUUAAACCUCACCACUCCUUGUUUUUCCCGCCUAUAUACCGCCGUCGUCAGCUUACCCCGUGAAGGCCUAAAAGUAAGCAAAAUUGGCACACCCAAAAACGCCAGGUCAAGGUGUAGCGAAUGAAGUGGGAAGAAAUGGGCUACAUUUUCUACAUAACAGAAUAUUACGGACGACACCCUGAAAUACAUGUCUGAAGGUGGAUUUAGUAGUAAAAAGAAAAUAGCGUGUCCUUUUGAAUUAGGCUCUGAGACGCGCACACACCGCCCGUCACUCUCCCCUACCUAUAUAUAAACCUCAACCAACAUCUCUAAAAACACAACCAA